RNAcentral lists this microRNA (22 nucleotides) under Salmo salar (Atlantic salmon). RNAcentral's name for it is "ssa-miR-100a-3p". Its record names the gene ssa-miR-100a-3p. Lineage: Eukaryota; Metazoa; Chordata; Actinopteri; Salmoniformes; Salmonidae. The record is from miRBase by way of RNAcentral.
ACAAGCUUGAUUCUAUAGGUCU